RNAcentral lists this ribosomal RNA (465 nucleotides) under uncultured bacterium. RNAcentral describes it as "bacterial SSU rRNA". It matches the Rfam family "Bacterial small subunit ribosomal RNA", at positions 28 to 501 of the family's 1533-position model. The record is from RNAcentral.
GAUGAACGCUAGCGGCAGGCUUAAUACAUGCAAGUCAAGGGGGUAGCAAUACAACCGGCGCACGGGUGAGUAACGCGUACACAACAUACCAUAUACUGGAGUAUAGCUUUGGGAAACUGAAGGUAAUCCUCCAUAACAUUGCGAGAGGGCAUCUGAUUGGCAAUUAAAGUUCCGACGGUAUAUGAUUGGUGUGCGUUUGAUUAGCUAGUUGGUAGGGUAACGGCCUACCAAGGCGACGAUCAAUAGCUGGCGUGAGAGCGCGACCAGCCACACUGGAACUGAGACACGGUCCAGACUCCUACGGGAGGCAGCAGGUAGGGAAUAUUGGACAAUGGGCGAAAGCCUGAUCCAGCCAUGCCGCGUGAUAGAUGAAGGCCCUCUGGGUUGUAAAUAUCUUUUAUCUUGGGAAGAAACUCCUCUAUUCUUAGAGGCCUGACGGUACCAGAGGAAUAAGCACCGGCUAAC